GGGUUGUGAGGUUAAGCGACUAAGCGUACACGGUGGAUGCCCUGGCAGUCAGAGGCGAUGAAGGACGUGCUAAUCUGCGAUAAGCGUCGGUAAGGUGAUAUGAACCGUUAUAACCGGCGAUUUCCGAAUGGGGAAACCCAGUGUGAUUCGUCACACUAUCAUUAACUGAAUCCAUAGGUUAAUGAGGCGAACCGGGGGAACUGAAACAUCUAAGUACCCCGAGGAAAAGAAAUCAACCGAGAUUCCCCCAGUAGCGGCGAGCGAACGGGGAGCAGCCCAGAGCCUGAAUCAGUGUGUGUGUUAGUGGAAGCGUCUGGAAAGGCGCGCGAUACAGGGUGACAGCCCCGUACACAAAAAUGCACAUAUUGUGAGCUCGAUGAGUAGGGCGGGACACGUGGUAUCCUGUCUGAAUAUGGGGGGACCAUCCUCCAAGGCUAAAUACUCCUGACUGACCGAUAGUGAACCAGUACCGUGAGGGAAAGGCGAAAAGAACCCCGGCGAGGGGAGUGAAAAAGAACCUGAAACCGUGUACGUACAAGCAGUGGGAGCCUGCUUCGGCGUGUGACUGCGUACCUUUUGUAUAAUGGGUCAGCGACUUAUAUUCUGUAGCAAGGUUAACCGAAUAGGGGAGCCGAAGGGAAACCGAGUCUUAACUGGGCGUUAAGUUGCAGGGUAUAGACCCGAAACCCGGUGAUCUAGCCAUGGGCAGGUUGAAGGUUGGGUAACACUAACUGGAGGACCGAACCGACUAAUGUUGAAAAAUUAGCGGAUGACUUGUGGCUGGGGGUGAAAGGCCAAUCAAACCGGGAGAUAGCUGGUUCUCCCCGAAAGCUAUUUAGGUAGCGCCUCGUGAAUUCAUCUCCGGGGGUAGAGCACUGUUUCGGCAAGGGGGUCAUCCCGACUUACCAACCCGAUGCAAACUGCGAAUACCGGAGAAUGUUAUCACGGGAGACACACGGCGGGUGCUAACGUCCGUCGUGAAGAGGGAAACAACCCAGACCGCCAGCUAAGGUCCCAAAGUCAUGGUUAAGUGGGAAACGAUGUGGGAAGGCCCAGACAGCCAGGAUGUUGGCUUAGAAGCAGCCAUCAUUUAAAGAAAGCGUAAUAGCUCACUGGUCGAGUCGGCCUGCGCGGAAGAUGUAACGGGGCUAAACCAUGCACCGAAGCUGCGGCAGCGACACUAUGUGUUGUUGGGUAGGGGAGCGUUCUGUAAGCCUGUGAAGGUGUACUGUGAGGUAUGCUGGAGGUAUCAGAAGUGCGAAUGCUGACAUAAGUAACGAUAAAGCGGGUGAAAAGCCCGCUCGCCGGAAGACCAAGGGUUCCUGUCCAACGUUAAUCGGGGCAGGGUGAGUCGACCCCUAAGGCGAGGCCGAAAGGCGUAGUCGAUGGGAAACAGGUUAAUAUUCCUGUACUUGGUGUUACUGCGAAGGGGGGACGGAGAAGGCUAUGUUGGCCGGGCGACGGUUGUCCCGGUUUAAGCGUGUAGGCUGGUUUUCCAGGCAAAUCCGGAAAAUCAAGGCUGAGGCSUGAUGACGAGGCACUACGGUGCUGAAGCAACAAAUGCCCUGCUUCCAGGAAAAGCCUCUAAGCAUCAGGUAACAUCAAAUCGUACCCCAAACCGACACAGGUGGUCAGGUAGAGAAUACCAAGGCGCUUGAGAGAACUCGGGUGAAGGAACUAGGCAAAAUGGUGCCGUAACUUCGGGAGAAGGCACGCUGAUAUGUAGGUGAAGUCCCUCGCGGAUGGAGCUGAAAUCAGUCGAAGAUACCAGCUGGCUGCAACUGUUUAUCAAAAACACAGGUCUCUGCAAAAUCGUAAGAUGAAGUAUAGGGGCUGACGCCUGCCCGGUGCUGGAAGGUUAAGAGGAGUGCUUAGCGCAAGCGAAGGUACGAAUUGAAGCCCCAGUAAACGGCGGCCGUAACUAUAACGGUCCUAAGGUAGCGAAAUUCCUUGUCGGGUAAGUUCCGACCCGCACGAAAGGCGUAACGAUUUGGGCACUGUCUCAACGAGAGACUCAGUGAAAUUGAACUCGCUGUGAAGAUGCAGUGUACCCGCGGCAAGACGGAAAGACCCCGUGAACCUUUACUAUAGCUUGACACUGAACAUUGAGCCUUGAUGUGUAGGAUAGGUGGGAGGCUUUGAAGUGUGGACGCCAGUCUGCAUGGAGCCGACCUUGAAAUACCACCCUUUAAUGUUUGAUGUUCUAACGUGGACCCGUGAUCCGGGUUGCGGACAGUGUCUGGUGGGUAGUUUGACUGGGGCGGUCUCCUCCUAAAGAGUAACGGAGGAGCACGAAGGUUGGCUAAUCCUGGUCGGACAUCAGGAGGUUAGUGCAAUGGCAUAAGCCAGCUUGACUGCGAGCGUGACGGCGCGAGCAGGUGCGAAAGCAGGUCAUAGUGAUCCGGUGGUUCUGAAUGGAAGGGCCAUCGCUCAACGGAUAAAAGGUACUCCGGGGAUAACAGGCUGAUACCGCCCAAGAGUUCAUAUCGACGGCGGUGUUUGGCACCUCGAUGUCGGCUCAUCACAUCCUGGGGCUGAAGUAGGUCCCAAGGGUAUGGCUGUUCGCCAUUUAAAGUGGUACGCGAGCUGGGUUUAGAACGUCGUGAGACAGUUCGGUCCCUAUCUGCCGUGGGCGCUGGAGAACUGAGGGGGGCUGCUCCUAGUACGAGAGGACCGGAGUGGACGCAUCACUGGUGUUCGGGUUGUCAUGCCAAUGGCACUGCCCGGUAGCUAAAUGCGGAAGAGAUAAGUGCUGAAAGCAUCUAAGCACGAAACUUGCCCCGAGAUGAGUUCUCCCUGACCCUUUAAGGGUCCUGAAGGAACGUUGAAGACGACGACGUUGAUAGGCCGGGUGUGUAAGCGCAGCGAUGCGUUGAGCUAACCGGUACUAAUGAACCGUGAGGCUUAACCUUACAACGCCGAAGCUGUU
This 2929-nucleotide ribosomal RNA is filed under the name Escherichia coli O157:H7. RNAcentral describes it as "bacterial LSU rRNA". It matches the Rfam family "Bacterial large subunit ribosomal RNA". Lineage: Bacteria; Pseudomonadati; Pseudomonadota; Gammaproteobacteria; Enterobacterales; Enterobacteriaceae. The record is from RNAcentral.